RNAcentral lists this transfer RNA (85 nucleotides) under Nitrososphaerota archaeon. Its description in RNAcentral is "Thaumarchaeota archaeon tRNA-Leu". It matches the Rfam family "tRNA". Rfam says of the family: Transfer RNA (tRNA) molecules are approximately 80 nucleotides in length. Their secondary structure includes four short double-helical elements and three loops (D, anti-codon, and T loops). Further hydrogen bonds mediate the characteristic L-shaped molecular structure. tRNAs have two regions of fundamental functional importance: the anti-codon, which is responsible for specific mRNA codon recognition, and the 3' end, to which the tRNAs corresponding amino acid is attached (by aminoacyl-tRNA synthetases). tRNAs cope with the degeneracy of the genetic code in two manners: having more than one tRNA (with a specific anti-codon) for a particular amino acid; and 'wobble' base-pairing, i.e. permitting non-standard base-pairing at the 3rd anti-codon position. Lineage: Archaea; Thermoproteati; Nitrososphaerota. The record is from RNAcentral.
GCGGGGGUAGCUAAGCACGGUUAACAGCGAGGGACUUAAGAUCCCUUCCCCUAGGGGUUCGUGGGUUCGAAUCCCACCCCCCGCA